UACAGAGGGGGCAAGCGUUGUUCGGAAUUACUGGGCGUAAAGGGCGCGUAGGCGGCCAACUAAGUCAGACGUGAAAUCCCUCGGCUCAACCGGGGAACUGCGUAUGAUACUGGAUGGCUUGAAUCCGGGAGAGGGAUGUGGAAUUCCAGGUGUAGCGGUGAAAUGCGUAGAGAUCUGGAGGAACACCCGUGGCGAAGGCGGCAUCCUGGACCGGUAUUGACGCUGAGGCGCGAAAGACAGGGGAGCAAACGGG
Molecule: ribosomal RNA, 253 nt
Filed under: uncultured bacterium
Lineage: Bacteria
Description: partial 16S ribosomal RNA
Rfam family: Bacterial small subunit ribosomal RNA
Source: RNAcentral